AUGAUGUCUUAAAACAUUAUGUCUCCUACCAGUUACUGCAUCAGUGUAGAAUUAGUACGUCUUAGCCCUGUAAUGCUGGUUUCACUCCUUCCUGCAGAGUUAGAAAAAACGAAGUAGCUGGCCUGCUGCUGUGGGUCUGCAGGCUGCUCUCUCUGCUGUGAUUGCUGCCCCAGGAUUCGGCAGUCCCUCAGCACCCGCUUCAUGUACGCCCUCUACUUCAUUCUGGUCGUCGUCCUCUGCUGCAUCAUGAUGUCAACAACCGUGGCUCACAAGAUGAAAGAGCACAUUCCUUUUUUUGAAGAUAUGUGUAAAGGCAUUAAAGCUGGUGACACCUGUGAGAAGCUGGUGGGAUAUUCUGCCGUGUAUAGAGUCUGUUUUGGAAUGGCUUGUUUCUUCUUUAUCUUCUGUCUACUGACCUUGAAAAUCAACAACAGCAAAAGUUGUAGAGCUCAUAUUCACAAUGGCUUUUGGUUCUUUAAACUUCUGCUGUUGGGGGCCAUGUGCUCAGGAGCUUUCUUCAUUCCAGAUCAGGACACCUUUCUGAACG
RNAcentral lists this small RNA (547 nucleotides) under Pan troglodytes (chimpanzee). RNAcentral's name for it is "processed transcript". Lineage: Eukaryota; Metazoa; Chordata; Mammalia; Primates; Hominidae. The record is from RNAcentral.